Long non-coding RNA from Vitis riparia (riverbank grape), 1436 nucleotides. RefSeq lists it as uncharacterized. The transcript is spliced from 2 exons. Lineage: Eukaryota; Viridiplantae; Streptophyta; Magnoliopsida; Vitales; Vitaceae. The record is from RefSeq and is a predicted model, not a curated record.
ACCUAAAAUUGCAUCCGCAACGGAGGCUCCUUAACCUAUGAAGCCGCCUUGCUUGGCCAAAAAACCCACCUAAAAUUCCUUCUUGCCUCUUCAAAUCUAUGGAAAGAUCAAGGAUUUUCACGGCCCUUGCGUCUGCGCCUAUGGGGAAUGGGUAUGAAACCAAGGUUGUUAAGAAAAUUAGUGAAGGUAUACUCGAUGGAUUGAGUAUGAAAAAAAUGAAUUUGAUAAUGCUUUCCAUGAUUGGGAUGAAUGGAAUAGGAGGGGUAGGAAAGAUUUUCGUUACUAAAGCCAUUUACAAUUUCCUUAGUUUUCUUACAAAUGUUAGAGAGGUUUUUUUAGAUAAGAUCUAAUCUAAAAAGGUUUUUGUUGUUCUCGAUGAUGUGGAUGACUUGAACCUAUUAGAGUUUUUAGCUGGAAAUCAUGAUUGGUUUAAAGUAUUACCGUUAUGAUUUAAGAUAAACAAAUAAAACCUCUUGAAACAUUUAUAGGUAAAGGCCUUCCAUUAGCUCUUAAAAUGUUAGGUUAUUACCUAUUUAAUAAAAUAAAUCUGAAUUUUUUAAAUUAAAAAGAAAACUUAAUAGGAAAAUUCAAAAUGUGCUUUAGUAAGUACUAAUGGAUUAGAUGAUGCUGAAAAUGAGAUAUUCCUUGACAUUGCAUGCUUUUUUUAAAAAGAGAGAUAUUCCUUGAUAUUGCAUGUUUUUUCAAAGGAUGAGAUAUUCCUUGACAUUGCAUGCUUUUUCAAAGGGAUGACUGUUGGUUACAUGCAAAGAUUGGAAUAAGUAUUCUCAAUGAUAAGUGUCUCAUAACUAUUUUAAUUAUAUGAAUGAUCCAUUAGUUAUAAUACAUGAGUCACAACAAAUGGGUAAGGAAAUUUUUUGCAAAAAAUCUUAGAAAGCCUGGCAAGUUGUGCAUUGAUUUAUUCCAACAAAUGGGUAAGGAAAUUUUUUUUGUAAAAAUAUCCUAGAAAGCCUAGCAAGUUGUGCAUUGAUUUAUUCCAACAAAUAUGUUGGAAAUUUGUUUGCAAAUAGAGGAAAUUGUGGGAUCUUGAAAGCGUCCAUUAUGGGUCGACAACAAAAAAAUGCCUUGAAGAGCCUAGCAAAUGCAGCAAAUAGUGGAAUCUGAAAAUCUGAAGAUGUCCCUUCAUCAUGGGUUGAUUGAAAAUGCUGUGCAAAUGAAGCAAAUUUUGGGAUUUUGAAAAUUUGAAGAUGUCCAUCAUGGGAUGGCAAAAAUGCAAGAAGAGCAAGAGUUCAUCAUCAUAUUUGACAUUUUCCCAAAGAUGGUGCUAUCAAAACCACCUAGGUACAGUGUGUGAAGGAACUUGAUUUGAUUAUUGGUGCUCAUUGUGAAGGAAAUGAAAUGUAAUGUGUAAUUUUUCUAAUGUUAUCGUAUAGAGAAACGAUCUUGUUAAAUGGAUAUACUUUAACUUGUCGCAUUUA